RNAcentral lists this long non-coding RNA (225 nucleotides) under Setaria italica (foxtail millet). Its description in RNAcentral is "long non-coding RNA (SITA_LNC003004)". Lineage: Eukaryota; Viridiplantae; Streptophyta; Magnoliopsida; Poales; Poaceae. The record is from RNAcentral.
UUGCCGAUUGUAAGUGUCACAAGAGGCAGAUCUGUCGAAACUCUCUUGCAAUUCAUGGUACUUGUAAGCUGAUUCUGUGCAGUUGUGAGCUCCUCAUAUUUGAUCCUAUCAUUAUAUUUGCUUUGAAGAAAAGCAUUCCUGUCCCAAGCCAGCAUGAGCCUAAUGCAAGUCAGAAAGGAGCCGCUUAUUUCGAGAUUCAGACAUGGCUGGCGAUCUGUCUUAUCA